Molecule: ribosomal RNA, 246 nt
Filed under: uncultured bacterium
Lineage: Bacteria
Description: partial small subunit ribosomal RNA
Rfam family: Bacterial small subunit ribosomal RNA
Source: RNAcentral
AGAAUCAACGCUGGCGGCGUGCCUAACACAUGCAAGUCGAACGAGAAAGUGGAGCAAUCCAUGAGUAAAGUGGCGCACGGGUGAGUAACACGUGACUAACCUACCCUUGAGUGGGGGAUAACCUAGAAGAAUCUGGGCUAAUACCGCAUAAUACCUUCGGGGUCAAAGGAGCAAUUCGCUUAAGGAGGGGGUCGCGGCCGAUUAGUUAGUUGGCGGGGUAAUGGCCCACCAAGACUAUGAUCGGUA